Molecule: ribosomal RNA, 867 nt
Filed under: Oropogon loxensis
Lineage: Eukaryota; Fungi; Ascomycota; Lecanoromycetes; Lecanorales; Parmeliaceae
Description: SSU rRNA
Rfam family: Bacterial small subunit ribosomal RNA
Source: RNAcentral
AACGGCUGAACCAGCACUUGGAGGAUGUACAGCAAUAGCUGCUUGCAUCAUUCUAAUGAUGAUGCAAGAUUGACUAUGUUGAAUAAAAUUCUAGGUAGAAUUAUGAUAAUGACAUUGUCUGCCUAUGUGUCUUGACCAAAUUACGUGCCAGCAGUCGCGGUAAUACGUAGAAGACUAGUGUUAUUCAUGUUAAAUCGGUUUAAAGGGUACCUAGACGGUAGAUCAAGCUUUCUAAUUCUUGAAUUAUAAAACAAGAAAAUAAAUGAUAAGGUACUAAUUUACUAGAGUUACUUCGGAGGGGGUUUGAAAGUACUGGUGGUGUAGAGAUGAAAUUCUGUGAUACCUUUUUUCUAUUAAGAAGAGUUAUGGCACUGGCAUAGGCGAAAGCAUCCCCUUAUGUGAUAACUGACGUUGAGGGACGAAGGCUUUUUGUAGCGAUCAGGAUUAGAGACCCUAGUAGUUGGAGCAGAAAACGAUGAAUGUCAUAGAUUAGAUAUAUAAGUUUAUUCUAUAAAUGAAAGUGUAAGCAUUCCACCUCAAGAGUAAUUUGGCAACAUUGGAACUGAAAUCAUUAGACCGUUUCUGAAACCAGUAGUGAAGUAUGUUGUUUAAUUUGAUGAUCCGCAAAGAACCUUACCACAAUUUGAAUAUUUAUAUUAUUUAUUGUUUUUUUUUUAUUUAUCUAGACAAAACGAAUAUGAUCAAGAAAAGAAAAAGAAAAAUAAUGAAGAGGCAAUAACAUAUAUUUACAAGCGUUGCACGGCUGUCUUCAGUUAAUGUCGCGAGACUCUGGUUAGUUCCAUAAAAUUAACGUAAACCCUUACUUUAUUUUUAAAUAAAGUAGUUCCCCGCUAUAUUGGAUAUGAU